UCCGUAGGGUGAACCUGCGGAAGGAUCAUUACCUAGAGUUGUAGGCUUUGCCUGCUAUCUCUUACCCAUGUCUUUUGAGUACCUUCGUUUCCUCGGCGGGUUCGCCCGCCGAUUGGACAAUUUAAACCAUUUGCAGUUGCAAUCAGCGUCUGAAAAAACUUAAUAGUUACAACUUUCAACAACGGAUCUCUUGGUUCUGGCAUCGAUGAAGAACGCAGCGAAAUGCGAUAAGUAGUGUGAAUUGCAGAAUUCAGUGAAUCAUCGAAUCUUUGAACGCACAUUGCGCCCCUUGGUAUUCCAUGGGGCAUGCCUGUUCGAGCGUCAUUUGUACCUUCAAGCUCUGCUUGGUGUUGGGUGUUUGUCUCGCCUCUGCGCGUAGACUCGCCUCAAAACAAUUGGCAGCCGGCGUAUUGAUUUCGGAGCGCAGUACAUCUCGCGCUUUGCACUCAUAACGACGACGUCCAAAAGUACAUUUUUACACUCUUGACCUCGGAUCAGGUAGGGAUACCCGCUGAACUUAAGCAUAUCAAUAAGCGGAGGA
Molecule: unclassified non-coding RNA, 541 nt
Filed under: Didymella glomerata
Lineage: Eukaryota; Fungi; Ascomycota; Dothideomycetes; Pleosporales; Didymellaceae
Description: partial contains 18S rRNA, ITS1, 5.8S rRNA, ITS2 and 28S rRNA
Rfam family: 5.8S ribosomal RNA (bases 171-324)
Source: RNAcentral